AUUGAACGCUGGCGGCAUGCUUUACACAUGCAAGUCGAACGGCAGCACGGGCUUCGGCCUGGUGGCGAGUGGCGAACGGGUGAGUAAUAUAUCGGAACGUACCCAGAAGUGGGGGAUAACGUAGCGAAAGUUACGCUAAUACCGCAUACGAUCUAUGGAUGAAAGCAGGGGACCGCGAGGCCUUGUGCUCCUGGAGCGGCCGAUAUCUGAUUAGCUAGUUGGUGAGGUAAAGGCUCACCAAGGCGACGAUCAGUAGCUGGUCUGAGAGGACGACCAGCCACACUGGAACUGAGACACGGUCCAGACUCCUACGGGAGGCAGCAGUGGGGAAUUUUGGACAAGGGGCGCAAGCCUGAUCCAGCAAUGCCGCGUGAGUGAAGAAGGCCUUCGGGUUGUAAAGCUCUUUUGUCAGGGAAGAAACGGUAGAGGCUAAUAUCCUGUGCUAAUGACGGUACCUGAAGAAUAAGCACCGGCUAACUACGUG
This 484-nucleotide ribosomal RNA is filed under the name uncultured bacterium. RNAcentral's name for it is "partial 16S ribosomal RNA". It matches the Rfam family "Bacterial small subunit ribosomal RNA", at positions 30 to 507 of the family's 1533-position model. The record is from RNAcentral.